UGGGGAAUUUUGGACAAUGGGCGAAAGCCUGAUCCAGCAAUGCCGCGUGUGUGAAGAAGGCCUUCGGGUUGUAAAGCACUUUUGUCCGGAAAGAAAUCCUUGGCUCUAAUACAGUCGGGGGAUGACGGUACCGGAAGAAUAAGCACCGGCUAACUACGUGCCAGCAGCCGCGGUAAUACGUAGGGUGCAAGCGUUAAUCGGAAUUACUGGGCGUAAAGCGUGCGCAGGCGGUUUGCUAAGACCGAUGUGAAAUCCCCGGGCUCAACCUGGGAACUGCAUUGGUGACUGGCAGGCUAGAGUAUGGCAGAGGGGGGUAGAAUUCCACGUGUAGCAGUGAAAUGCGUAGAAAUGUGGAGGAAUACCGAUGGCGAAGGCAGCCCCCGUGGGCCAAUACUGACGCUCAUGCACGAAAGCGUGGGGAGCAAACAGGAUUAGAUACCCUGGUAGUCCACGCCCUAAACGAUGUCAACUAGUUGUUGGGGAUUCAUUUCCUUAGUAACGUAGCUAACGCGUGAAGUUGACCGCCUGGGGAGUACGGUCGCAAGAUUAAAACUUAAAGGAAUUGACGGGGUCAUAGCUGUUUCCU
Molecule: ribosomal RNA, 586 nt
Filed under: uncultured bacterium
Lineage: Bacteria
Description: partial 16S ribosomal RNA
Rfam family: Bacterial small subunit ribosomal RNA
Source: RNAcentral